This is a long non-coding RNA of Carassius auratus (goldfish), 286 nucleotides long. RefSeq lists it as uncharacterized. Lineage: Eukaryota; Metazoa; Chordata; Actinopteri; Cypriniformes; Cyprinidae. The record is from RefSeq and is a predicted model, not a curated record. The transcript has 4 exons.
CGCGAGAAGGGUCUGGCUGCAGACCGUGGGCGAGUGGAGCUCCACUCUCAAACCGGAAAUACGUCACCUCCACUUGAAAACAUCAAGAUGGCGUCGCCGGGAGUACUUCAAACUUAAACUCAGGGAUAGGAUUGGCAUAGAAGAUGCAGCACUCUUUACAUUUUAAAUAUCAAAUGUAUAUUAAGUGUUAUCCAUCCUCAUAACACCUCCACAAAUAGAGAGUGGAACUUCUGAGCACCAUCACCUUGUCUGCUUUGGGACUGUCAUAGCCCAGCAAUCAGAUGCA